Long non-coding RNA from Octodon degus (degu), 410 nucleotides. RefSeq lists it as uncharacterized. Lineage: Eukaryota; Metazoa; Chordata; Mammalia; Rodentia; Octodontidae. The transcript has 3 exons. The record is from RefSeq and is a predicted model, not a curated record.
AAAGACAGAUUAGGUUAGAUUUGGUUAAUAGGUACAUUCCCAGACUGACAACCUGAAAACUACUUGGGGCAAAAUGGAAAGGUGAACUGCUAUUCCAGAUAAAUUGCAUAUUGCUUCUGGCAUUUAUCCUAAUGAUAAAAAAGUAACUCCUAGAUAACCAGGAACGUACAAAGUGCAAGGGACCACAUUCAUGCCAAAUAACCUGGCUUGAGCAAACAUCCUUAUUGUCCAAACUGGUGAAACAAAUGCAAAGGAAACCAGUUCUUUUUAUUUGAGCUAUGCAGAACUCUGGGGACCUGUUGUUCUAUAGAUGACCUAAGUUAUAUCACAGUAAUCCCACUAAAAGAAAAACACUAGUGUCAAAAAUACACUUAAAGCUGGGCACGGUGGCACAUACCUAUAAUCCCAGC